AAACGAUAGUAGGUCGAAAUGUAGGAAGGAUUUAAAAGAAUAUCCAUACAACUCAUACCAUUUUCCAUCUAACUCAACUCUUCAUAUAACCAGUCUGCAUAGGUCCUAAACUAAAAUGAAUUCCCACGCAAUGUCGGACCCUCGAUAUUAUAACAAACAUUCAUAUAAUCAUAGCUCUGCAUCAUUCACUUCCUUCUCGUGCCUGACGUGGUGACCCAGAUCUUGAUUUUGACCGUGGCCUUGUAGAUUUAACAGGGGAUGGAGAUCUUGAUCUUGAAACUGAUCUCGAAACAGAUCGUUCGGCUGAUUUGCUCCUAUUUCGUCUAGCAGUCCGGCUACGGCUACGGCUUCGGCUCCGGCUCCGGCUUCUACUACGGCUUCUGCUCCUGCUCCUGGUGGGACUUCCGUCGUACUUCUUCACCCGAAUGUAUGCUCUCGCCCAAGGAUUUCUGAAUUCAGUAUCAUCAAGUUUUCGCAUAGCAUAUUUCAUGUCAUCAUAG
RNAcentral lists this unclassified non-coding RNA (500 nucleotides) under Hevea brasiliensis (rubber tree). The record is from RNAcentral. Lineage: Eukaryota; Viridiplantae; Streptophyta; Magnoliopsida; Malpighiales; Euphorbiaceae.